Long non-coding RNA from Folsomia candida, 581 nucleotides. RefSeq lists it as uncharacterized. NCBI's taxonomy places the organism in Eukaryota, Metazoa, Arthropoda, Collembola, Entomobryomorpha, Isotomidae. The transcript has 2 exons. The record is from RefSeq and is a predicted model, not a curated record.
UGUUGUUCAUCUGACUAUUCGAGACUUGACUGUUGGUGGGAUAUGCAGAUAAGCAAAGUUAUAUAUCUCAAGGGAGACAGAGGUCAAAAAUCUCCACGACAAACAGCAGCUCACUUCUUGCUCUAGAAAAUUUCAUAAAAUUUUAAACAUUUCCACGCAGUUCACAUCGAGAAAAAGAGCAGAACGUCGCAAAGUAAAGAAAGCGGAACGUCCCUUGAAAAUUGUGGAGGAGCCUGAAACGCAGGGAAAGUUCGAAGAGGGUAAACUUUUUGUUUUACUCCAAGACGAAUUGCAUUCCGAACACGUGCAAUUUUAAGAAAAAUCCGUUGGAUUUGCUAGCGGGAGAAUUUCCGAGCAGAACGAGACGGACGGAAUGGAGGUCAACAAGACGCAAAGGAAGUUGGUCGGAGGACAGAAAGCGCUCGUUCCGACAAUGGAGAAAAUCGACAAAGGGCUCCGUUUUCAAGAGAACAGGCGAUUUUCUCCUACCUCCGUCCAACCAGCACGUGACGAUAACCACGCCCAGUCGCUCGCAACUAACGACAGGUUGUCAAAAACCAAGAAAGUCUUCCCGUGCAAAA